UACGUAGGGGGCUAGCGUUGUCCGGAAUCAUUGGGCGUAAAGAGCGUGUAGGCGGCCCGGCAAGUCCGCUGUAAAAGUCAAAGGCUCAACCUUUGAAUGUCAGUGGAUACUGUCGGGCUAGAGUCCGGAAGAGGCGAGUGGAACUCCUGGUGUAGCGGUGGAAUGCGCAGAUAUCAGGAAGAACACCAACGGCGAAGGCAGCUCGCUGGGACGGUACUGACGCUGAGACGCGAAAGCGUGGGGAGCGAACAGG
This 253-nucleotide ribosomal RNA is filed under the name uncultured bacterium. RNAcentral's name for it is "partial 16S ribosomal RNA". It matches the Rfam family "Bacterial small subunit ribosomal RNA", at positions 524 to 776 of the family's 1533-position model. The record is from RNAcentral.